Molecule: ribosomal RNA, 537 nt
Filed under: uncultured bacterium
Lineage: Bacteria
Description: bacterial SSU rRNA
Rfam family: Bacterial small subunit ribosomal RNA
Source: RNAcentral
CCUACGGGAGGCAGCAGUGGGGAAUCUUGCGCAAUGGGCGAAAGCCUGACGCAGCGACGCCGCGUGGGGGAAGAAGGCCUUCGGGUUGUAAACCUCUUUCAGCAGGGACGAAGCCACUCGGGUUAAUAGCCCAGAGGGUGACGGUACCUGCAGAAGAAGCCCCGGCUAACUACGUGCCAGCAGCCGCGGUAAUACGUAGGGGGCAAGCGUUGUCCGGAUUUAUUGGGCGUAAAGAGCGUGUAGGCGGCCAGACAAGUCCGUUGUGAAAACCUAGAGGCUUAACCUCUAGACGUCGAUGGAAACUGUUUGGCUAGAGUCCGGAAGAGGAGAAUGGAAUUCCUGGUGUAGCGGUGAAAUGCGCAGAUAUCAGGAAGAACACCCGUGGCUAAGGCGGUUCUCUAGUACGGCACUGACGCUGAGACGCGAAAGCGUGGGGAGCGAACAGGAUUAGAUACCCUGGUAGUCCACGCCGUAAACGAUGGGUGCUAGGUGUGGGGGUGUCGACUCCCUCCGUGCCGAGCUAACGCAUAGCNCCGC